AGCAGCCGCGGUAAUUCCAGCUCCAAUAGCGUAUAUUAAAGUUGUUGCAGUUAAAAAGCUCGUAGUUGAAUUUCGGGGUUAGUAGGUUGGUCAUGCCUCUGGUAUGUACUGGUCUCACUGAUUCCUCCUUCCUGAUGAGCCGUAAUGCCAUUAAUUUGGUGUUGCGGGGAAUUUGGACUGUUACUUUGAAAAAUUAGAGUGUUUAAAGCAAGCUAACGCUUGAAUACAUUAGCAUGGAAUAAUGAAAUAGGACGUUCGAUCCUAUUUUGUUGGUUUCUAGGAUUGACGUAAUGAUUAAUAGGGAUAGUUGGGGGCAUUAGUAUUCAAUUGUCAGAGGUGAAAUUCUUGGAUUUAUUGAAGACUAACUACUGCGAAAGCAUUUGCCAAGGAUGUUUUCAUUAAUACAAGAACGAAAGUUAGGGGAUCGAAGACGAUCAGAUACCGUCGUAGUCUUAACCAUAAACUAUAGCCGACUAGGGAUCGGAUGAUGUUAAUUUU
RNAcentral lists this ribosomal RNA (498 nucleotides) under uncultured Glomus. RNAcentral describes it as "SSU rRNA". It matches the Rfam family "Eukaryotic small subunit ribosomal RNA", at positions 569 to 1070 of the family's 1831-position model. The record is from RNAcentral. Lineage: Eukaryota; Fungi; Glomeromycota; Glomeromycetes; Glomerales; Glomeraceae.